UACGUAGGGGGCAAGCGUUGUUCGGAGUUACUGGGCGUAAAGGGUGUGUAGGCGGUUCCUUAAGUUUGCUGUGAAAUCUCCCGGCUUAACCGGGAGGGUGCGGUGAAUACUGAGGGACUAGAGUACGGGAGAGGAAAGUGGAAUUCCUGGUGUAGCGGUGAAAUGCGCAGAUAUCAGGAGGAACACCAAUGGCGAAGGCAGCUCGCUGGGACGGUACUGACGCUGAGACGCGAAAGCGUGGGGAGCAAACAGG
This 253-nucleotide ribosomal RNA is filed under the name uncultured bacterium. RNAcentral describes it as "partial 16S ribosomal RNA". It matches the Rfam family "Bacterial small subunit ribosomal RNA", at positions 524 to 776 of the family's 1533-position model. The record is from RNAcentral.